GCCUCUCCAUGAAAAAAGAAAAUGAAAAACAUGCAAAUUAAUUCUUUUUAAUGUGAGAGAAGUAAGUUUGGUCUCAUUCCCAUAUAAUGCAACAAUGUGAGUUUUGGAGUAGUCGAGCAAAUGUUGGGUAUGGAGUUAUCUUUGCUGGAAGCGUUUGACUUUUUAAUAUGAGAUUUUUCAAUGUGAAUCCGGAUAAAUCGAGCCCCAAUAUAAAUAUUGAAUAUCGGCUGAGAAAUCGAAAAAAAACAUGCUAUGUGUUUUUUUUACUCGGUAUGUGACGUUCAGACAAACGAGCCUUUGACCUAAUGAGUUCAGAUGCAGCGACAGCUACGUGUCUUCGUAAUAUUUUCUAAAUCUUUUAACGUUUGAGAGGAAGCUUAGCUGGAGAUCUAUAAUGGUUAAUUAUGUAGGUCACAUAUGUUACUUUUUUAAUACUAAUACCCCAAUAUGUCAAAUAGUUAUUCCUAUUUGUCUUUAAAAAUAUAUAAGAAUAUUGUCCAGUCUUCCAAUGAUUAAGGCUCUUCAUCUGUCUAUUUCCUAUAUGGUUUGUUCCAAUUUGUUGCAUUCAAACUUGUAUAUACUGCAGACUUUUUCAAGUUGUCGUCCAUUAUUUCAGUCCACG
RNAcentral lists this long non-coding RNA (622 nucleotides) under Nicotiana benthamiana. Its description in RNAcentral is "long non-coding RNA (NBEN_LNC042533)". The record is from RNAcentral. Lineage: Eukaryota; Viridiplantae; Streptophyta; Magnoliopsida; Solanales; Solanaceae.